RNAcentral lists this ribosomal RNA (406 nucleotides) under uncultured bacterium. Its description in RNAcentral is "bacterial SSU rRNA". It matches the Rfam family "Bacterial small subunit ribosomal RNA", at positions 11 to 420 of the family's 1533-position model. The record is from RNAcentral.
GUUUGAUCCUGGCUCAGAUUGAACGCUGGCGGAAUGCUUUACACAUGCAAGUCGAACGGCAGCACGGGGGCAACCCUGGUGGCGAGUGGCGAACGGGUGAGUAAUACAUCGGAACGUGCCCAAUCGUGGGGGAUAACGUAGCGAAAGCUACGCUAAUACCGCAUACGAUCUACGGAUGAAAGCGGGGAUCGCAAGACCUCGCGCGAAUGGAGCGGCCGAUGGCAGAUUAGGUAGUUGGUGGGGUAAAGGCUCACCAAGCCGACGAUCUGUAGCUGGUCUGAGAGGACGACCAGCCACACUGGGACUGAGACACGGCCCAGACUCCUACGGGAGGCAGCAGUGGGGAAUUUUGGACAAUGGGCGCAAGCCUGAUCCAGCCAUUCCGCGUGCAGGAUGAAGGCCUCGG